CCUACGGGAGACAGCAGUAGGGAAUAUUGCUCAAUGGGGGAAACCCUGAAGCAGCAACGCCGCGUGGAGGAUGAAGGUUUUCGGAUUGUAAACCCCUUUUGUUAGAGAAGAUAAUGACGGUAUCUAACGAAUAAGCACCGGCUAACUCCGUGCCAGCAUCCGCGGUAAUACGGAGGGUGCAAGCGUUACUCGGAAUCACUGGGCGUAAAGAGGGCGUAGGCGGGAUAGCAAGUCAGAUGUGAAAUCCUAUGGCUUAACCAUAGAACUGCAUUUGAAACUGUUAUUCUAGAGUAUGGGAGAGGUAGGUGGAAUUCUUGGUGUAGGGGUAAAAUCCGUAGAGAUCAAGAGGAAUACUCAUUGCGAAGGCGACCUGCUAGAACAUAACUGACGCUGAGGCGCGAAAGCGUGUGGAGCAAACAGGAUUAGAUACCCCUGUAGUC
Molecule: ribosomal RNA, 440 nt
Filed under: uncultured bacterium
Lineage: Bacteria
Description: partial 16S ribosomal RNA
Rfam family: Bacterial small subunit ribosomal RNA
Source: RNAcentral